RNAcentral lists this ribosomal RNA (468 nucleotides) under uncultured bacterium. Its description in RNAcentral is "SSU rRNA". It matches the Rfam family "Bacterial small subunit ribosomal RNA", at positions 26 to 518 of the family's 1533-position model. The record is from RNAcentral.
AGAACGAACGCUGGCGGCAGGCUUAACACAUGCAAGUCGAACGCCCCGCAAGGGGAGUGGCAGACGGGUGAGUAACGCGUGGGAAUCUACCUGGUUCUACGGAAUAACUGAGGGAAACUUCAGCUAAUACCGUAUACGCCCCAAGGGGGAAAGAUUUAUCGGUGCCAGAUGAGCCCGCGUUGGAUUAGCUAGUUGGUGGGGUAAUGGCCUACCAAGGCGACGAUCCAUAGCUGGUCUGAGAGGAUGAUCAGCCACACUGGGACUGAGACACGGCCCAGACUCCUACGGGAGGCAGCAGUGGGGAAUAUUGGACAAUGGGCGAAAGCCUGAUCCAGCCAUGCCGCGUGAGUGAUGAAGGCCUUAGGGUUGUAAAGCUCUUUCAGGAGGGACGAAGCUACUCGGGUUAAUAGCCCAGAGGGUGACGGUACCUCCAGAAGAAGCCCCGGCUAACUACGUGCCAGCAGCCGC